RNAcentral lists this ribosomal RNA (477 nucleotides) under uncultured bacterium. RNAcentral describes it as "bacterial SSU rRNA". It matches the Rfam family "Bacterial small subunit ribosomal RNA", at positions 50 to 518 of the family's 1533-position model. The record is from RNAcentral.
AACACAUGCAAGUCGAGGGGCAGCGCGGGGUAGCAAUACUCCUGGCGGCGACCGGCGCACUGGUGAGUAACACGUAUGCGACCUGCCCCGGACAGGGGGAUAAACCCGGGAGACUGGGCCUAAUACCCCCAUAUGCCCCGAUGGCGCAUGCCUUCAGGGUGAAAGAUCCGUCGGUCCGGGAUGGGCAUGCGGCGCAUUAGCUAGUUGGCGGGGCAACGGCCCACCAAGGCGACGAUGCGUAGGGGUUCUGAGAGGAAGGUCCCCCACACUGGUACUGAGACACGGACCAGACUCCUACGGGAGGCAGCAGUGAGGAAUAUUGGUCAAUGGACGAUAGUCUGAACCAGCCCAAGUCGCGUGCGGGAUGAAGGCCCUCCGGGUCGUAAACCGCUUUAGCCGGGGAGUAACGUGGGGGUCGUGACCCCCAGUGAGAGUACCCGGAGAAUAAGCAUCGGCUAACUCCGUGCCAGCCGCGGC